Molecule: long non-coding RNA, 1348 nt
Organism: Hyaena hyaena (striped hyena)
Lineage: Eukaryota; Metazoa; Chordata; Mammalia; Carnivora; Hyaenidae
Exons: 5
Source: RefSeq, a predicted model, not a curated record
UCCCAACCCUCCUGUGACCACAGCAGUCAAAGCCAGCUCUAGAGCAGGUAUUGCCCUGAGCUGUGGCAAGAGCGGUGUCUCAUAGCAGAGGACAGGAUGGAAGAACGGGAAUUUCUGGUUUUCUUUCCACAAAGAGAUUGAAACCAAGAUUACUAUCAUAGAACGAGUAAGCCCUGAGGCUUAUCACCACACUGUGGGAUCCUGGGAACAAAAACAGACAUACUCUCAAUAGUAGACGAUAAAAGAAAUGUGAGCUUAUCUUCUACUCAAACCAGUAAUGCAGAGUGACUCUGCCAUUGAAGUUAUAGCCACCUGCUGGCUCUGGCUUUGAAUUUGCUUAAGCCAACUUGCAAUAAAGUGGAGACGAUCAAGGUGUUUACCAGGAAAAUCAGGCAUCAGGCUUACAAAAUUGUCUUUAUUUCCUGAACAGAAUAGGAUGUGUGACGAUACCAACAAGAACGAUUGCCCCGCCAUCUCCAUUUUCGUUACCCUUGGUCUACCUCUGCCUGGAAGCCGAUGAGUCUCCUUCUAAAAUAUUGUCAGAAGGUCUUUCCACGCUCUGCACACCUGGCCUGGUGUGUCUAUCUGCUGCACAACACUCCGUAUAUCUUCACCGGAUACCCCUUUUCCAUUCUUGUGCAAAGGGAUAUCUACACUGCCCCCAGCUCACCAGUCAAACUAUGACAGUUUAAAAACUUGCUUCAUCAAGAGGCACGUACUUACUGAUGUGAUCUUUCAGGACCAGGUGAAGAGAACAGAUACUGUAGUUGGACACAGACUCUAAGAGGAUAACCUGUCAGCUCUGUGUUGUCUAAUUGGCCGAUGAACAAGAAUGCCUGGGAGUCUGAAAGCAAAGUCCAAAGUGGAUUGAUGGACAUAAUUAUUCUAAAACCAGUGUUUUUCAAACCUUUUCCCCCCUGAAGCACACUAAGAAAUACCUUUUAUAAAACUUCCUGAAAUGGACACUGUUGGCAACCCUGUGCAGGCUGGUGCUCCCAUUUCCCAGCUGUCAGGAGCACUGCCUCCUCCUCUGGAGGUGAGAACCUCAGCUGAGCUGAGCACGAGCUGCCUUCCCAGAGGUUACGUACCUCUGUUCCUCAGAGCAGCCCAUAGCCAACAUUGACAUGAGGAUUCAAGAGGCGCUACCCGCUUGUCUCAGGCAGCACCAGCUCCGGUACAAUUCAAACCACGGGAUUUGGUGUCAGAGAACACCCUUGCUCAGCACGUCCUCUGCCUCCUCCAGCUUCUUCCUCAUUUUUCUGGGAGCACUCCCUAAAGACAUCACAGGCACCCAAAUUCUUUUCUUGAGCUCUGCUUCCAAGGAAUCCGAGUUAAGACAAUACCCAAC